Molecule: ribosomal RNA, 497 nt
Filed under: uncultured bacterium
Lineage: Bacteria
Description: partial 16S ribosomal RNA
Rfam family: Bacterial small subunit ribosomal RNA
Source: RNAcentral
GAUGAACGCUGGCGGCGUGCCUAAUACAUGCAAGUCGAGCGAACGGACGAGAAGCUUGCUUCUCUGAUGUUAGCGGCGGACGGGUGAGUAACACGUGGAUAACCUACCUAUAAGACUGGGAUAACUUCGGGAGACCGGAGCUAAUACCGGAUAAUAUUUUGAACCGCAUGGUUCAACAGUGAAAGACGGUCUUGCUGUCACUUAUAGAGGGAUCCGCGCUGCAUUAGCUAGUUGGUAAGGUAACGGCUUACCAAGGCAACGAUGCAUAGCCGACCUGAGAGGGUGAUCGGCCACACUGGAACUGAGACACGGUCCAGACUCCUACGGGAGGCAGCAGUAGGGAAUCUUCCGCAAUGGGCGAAAGCCUGACGGAGCAACGCCGCGUGAGUGAUGAAGGUCUUCGGAUCGUAAAACUCUGUUAUUAGGGAAGAACAGAUGUGUAAGUAACUGUGCACAUCUUGACGGUACCUAAUCAGAAAGCCACGGCUAACUACGUG